RNAcentral lists this ribosomal RNA (515 nucleotides) under uncultured bacterium. RNAcentral's name for it is "partial 16S ribosomal RNA". It matches the Rfam family "Bacterial small subunit ribosomal RNA", at positions 28 to 523 of the family's 1533-position model. The record is from RNAcentral.
GAUGAACGCUGGCGGCGUGCCUAAUACAUGCAAGUCGAGCGAAUGGAUUAAGAGCUUGCUCUUAUGAAGUUAGCGGCGGACGGGUGAGUAACACGUGGGUAACCUGCCCAUAAGACUGGGAUAACUCCGGGAAACUGGGGCUAAUACCGGAUAACAUUUUGAACCGCAUGGUUCGAAAUUGAAAGGCGGCUUCGGCUGUCACUUAUGGAUGGACCCGCGUCGCAUUAGCUAGUUGGUGAGGUAACGGCUCACCAAGGCAACGAUGCGUAGCCGACCUGAGAGGGUGAUCGGCCACACCGGGACUGAGACACGGCCCAGACUCCUACGGGAGGCAGCAGUAGGGAAUCUUCCGCAAUGGACGAAAGUCUGACGGAGCAACGCCGCGUGAGUGAUGAAGGCUUUCGGGUCGUAAAACUCUGUUGUUAGGGAAGAACAAGUGCUAGUUGAAUAAGCUGGCACCUUGACGGUACCUAACCAGAAAGCCACGGCUAACUACGUGCCAGCCGCCGCCGUAA